AGAAUGAACGUUGGCGGCGUGGAUUAGGCAUGCAAGUCGAGCGGGAGUAGCAAUACUCUAGCGGCGUAAGGGACAGUAACACGUAGAUCACCUACCCUCAGAUUCGGGAUAGCUGCGGGAAACUGCAGGUAAUACCGAAUAAUGUCUCCGGACCAAAGGUGUGAUUCCGUCCGAGGAUGGGUCUGCGUCCUAUUAGCUAGUUGGUAGGGUAAUGGCCUACCAAGGCAAUGAUGGGUAGUGGGUGUGAGAGCACGACCCGCGUCACUGGGACUGAGACACUGCCCAGACACCUACGGGUGGCUGCAGUCGAGGAUCUUCGGCAAUGGGCGCAAGCCUGACCGAGCGACGCCGCGUGCGGGAUGAAGGCCUUCGGGUUGUAAACCGCUGUCAGUGGGAGAAAUGUACGGAGGUUCUCCUUCGUAUUUGAUCUAUCCGCAGAGGAAGUGUGGGCUAAGUUCGUGCCAGCAGCCGCGGU
Molecule: ribosomal RNA, 475 nt
Filed under: uncultured bacterium
Lineage: Bacteria
Description: SSU rRNA
Rfam family: Bacterial small subunit ribosomal RNA
Source: RNAcentral